RNAcentral lists this ribosomal RNA (301 nucleotides) under uncultured bacterium. Its description in RNAcentral is "partial 16S ribosomal RNA". It matches the Rfam family "Bacterial small subunit ribosomal RNA", at positions 509 to 808 of the family's 1533-position model. The record is from RNAcentral.
CAGCCGCCACGGUAAUACGAGGGGGGCAAGCGUUGUUCGGAAUUAUUGGGCGUAAAGGGUGCGUAGGCGGUUUGGCAAGUCUUAUGUGAAAUCUUCGGGCUCAACCCGAAGUCUGCAUGAGAAACUGCCGGGCUUGAGUAUGGGAGAGGUGAGUGGAAUUUCCGGUGUAGCGGUGAAAUGCGUAGAUAUCGGAAGGAACACCUGUGGCGAAAGCGGCUCACUGGACAUUUACUGACGCUGAUGCACGAAAGCUAGGGGAGCAAACAGGAUUAGAUACCCCCGUAGUCCCUGUCUCUUAUCC